RNAcentral lists this long non-coding RNA (428 nucleotides) under Phaseolus vulgaris (common bean). RNAcentral describes it as "long non-coding RNA (PVUL_LNC004465)". Lineage: Eukaryota; Viridiplantae; Streptophyta; Magnoliopsida; Fabales; Fabaceae. The record is from RNAcentral.
CAUUUUAUUAACCCUAGAAACGUGUGGUAUGCAAAAAACAAAUUAAUUCGAACGAAAACUAAAUUCGUUCUUCAUUCUUGCAAAUGGAUAGAGAGAGAGAGAGAGAGAAAAUGGAUGACCUGAGAGAGGUUGAAAUUUUGGGACGGAGAUUGUUAUGAGAGAAACUCAAUUUGGGGCAGUGCAGAAUAUUGGAGAUUCCCAGAGCCAUUGGGCGCGCCACUGCAACGAUGCAAUGUUAUCUCUCUCAAUUUAUGUCUGAAAUUUGAGAUAACGAAAUGGGGCGGUGAGUGAGGGUUUACAAAAUACAACUGGGGAACGUUUGUGGUGAGGGUGAGAGGAAGGGUUUACGAUUGCGGUGAGGGUGAGAGGAAAGGGUUUACAAAAUGGGACUGAGAAGGGAAGGAUUACGGUGAAGGUGAAAGGGUUUA